AAUACCAAGGCGCUUGAGAGAAUUCGGGUGAAGGAACUAGGCAAAAUGGUGCCGUAACUUCGGGAGAAGGCACGCUGAUAUGUAGGUGAGGUCCCUCGCGGAUGGAGCUGAAAUCAGUCGAAGAUACCAGCUGGCUGCAACUGUUUAUUAAAAACACAGCACUGUGCAAACACGAAAGUGGACGUAUACGGUGUGACGCCUGCCCGGUGCCGGAAGGUUAAUUGAUGGGGUUAGCGGUAACGCGAAGCUCUUGAUCGAAGCCC
Molecule: ribosomal RNA, 263 nt
Filed under: Escherichia coli
Lineage: Bacteria; Pseudomonadati; Pseudomonadota; Gammaproteobacteria; Enterobacterales; Enterobacteriaceae
Description: partial 23S ribosomal RNA
Rfam family: Bacterial large subunit ribosomal RNA
Source: RNAcentral